AGAAAACACCAUGGAAAUGCAUAAGAACUAGCUAACUAAGGCGCAUAAAUAUGCUCCUAUCAACAAGGGGAAGACUUAAACAACUCCUUAGGGCCGAAUUCAUUGUUUUGGACCCUUACUUCAACAAACAAUACUUUGGAACUCUUUUUCUCAACUUUUCAACUCUUUUUUUCAAACUUUUCAUAUUUUUUACUUCAAUUUUUCUUUUUCCACGAAAUUUUUUUUUCUUUUCUUUUCUUUUCUUUGCCGUGCCUAUGGCACACAAUUCCUCAUGAAAAAUACUUCCCCCACACUUGUUUUCUGCCAACAUAGAUCAAAAGGAAUUCAAUUCGAAUCAUGCUUUACUAUGCUUUAAGAACAAGGGUAUGGAUGGUCCUAAACUAGGCUAGGUGAGGAAAACAUGGGUUAACAAAUAAUGAAGGCUAACAAGGCUCAAUGGGGUUAAAAACCUACAAAACAUAAUGGAAUAGGGAUAUACGGCUUUUUUGGCCAUGGUGGACACUACACAACUUCAUCUUGAAUAUGUGUUAUGCAAAUCAAUAACAUGCUUUGAAUGAAAUGGGCAUGAGUUCUAGCAUUUGGAACUAAAUGAUGAAACGCCUUCUAAGUAGUAACCAAGCAAAGAAUAAUGAGAUCAUGCAACGACUUAGAAAACAAAGAAUGCACAGAUUUUAACUCUCCAAAUAAACGUUUAGGCUCAAGUCUCACAAGGUUGUAGCGUUAGUUUGAGUUCCUUCCUUCAAGCAUGUUACAAAAACUGAAUUUUUUUCUUUAUGAUUGCAUGUGAAUUCAUAAGUUAUAACCACAACCAAGCAUAAACAAAGAGUAAAUCAAACUUUCAUCCAUGUUUACAACUCUCUUUAACUGUCAUGCAAUUACAAACCGAAUCCUCAUCAUUGUGUUGGAAGGUACCCUAAGACACAAACAAACACACAAAAACAACUCUUUUUGGGUUUUUUAAAACAAAUUUUUCAAAUUUUUAUGUGAUUUUCGGAUUUUUACUUCAAAACACACUUAAAACACACCAAAACAGCUUAAAAAGGCUUAAAAACAGCAAGAAACAACAUUUGAAAUUAUGGGUGACAAACAAACAAACAUUGUCCUCAAUGUUUCAAGCAUAGACUCACACAAAUAACAAACAAACAAACAAAACAACAACUAAAACAACUAAAUAGGCAGAUUCGAAUUUAAACAACAAAGAGAAGAGUUUAGGAACGCAAAUCUGGAAUUGGAGUGAUUCCUUGGUCUUCCUUUGUUGAAUUGCAUGGGUUGCCUCCCAAGUAGCGCUUUCUUUAACGUCGUACAGCCGGACGAAAAGCCCAUUCAUUCUCCAUUUGUGCCCACGGCACCCAAAGAAAUAUCAUCCACGGUUUGUUCAACAAAGUUCUCAUAAUAUGGCUUCAAACGGUGUCCGUUCACUUGGAAUUCAUGACCUGUUUUGAGACUUUGAAUCUGGAUGGCACCAUAAGAAGAUACGUUAGUAAUAACAAACGGUCCAAUCCACUUAGAACGUAACUUACCGGGAAACA
This 1529-nucleotide long non-coding RNA is filed under the name Malus domestica (apple). RNAcentral describes it as "long non-coding RNA (MDOM_LNC019802)". The record is from RNAcentral. Lineage: Eukaryota; Viridiplantae; Streptophyta; Magnoliopsida; Rosales; Rosaceae.